AAGGUGAGCGGCUCGUCCUGAAGUGCGGAUGUAGCCACCAUGGCGGCCAGUCAGAGGCGGGACCCGGCAUUUCCGGCGAGUUGAGAAAUGGCGGCGCACGUGGACACGGCAGCCCCGGAGACCCGUUCGUGGGGAUGGCCUCGCUCUGAGGGGACUGUCGGAGUCAGACGCCAAGAACUUUCUUCAUGUGACAUAUUUCUUCCUUUCAGAACUUUCUUCAUGUGGACACAUCAACAGGUCCAGUCUCCCUAUUGAGAAGCAAGUUGCUCACUUUCCUGCUUCCAAAGUGUGUUCACUGCCGGUGACCAGAGGAACGAAGCAGCGCGUCCCUCCCGGUUGCUGUGUUCACUGGGCAGACAAGGUGAGUGGAAGGAUUUAUCGGCACUGAACGUGGAGAAGGCAAAGCUGGAAAUCCACAAAAGAAGUUUGAGUGAUGAGGGAACAUGAGCAAACAGGUGCAUUCACCACUGACUGUGCAAAUGAAGACUAAAGCAGUGAGAAAUGACCAGGCCAUUUUCCAGCCUCCUUUCCGAAGAGACACCCUGGGACCCUCCCCAAGGGGCGUCUGGAGGAAAAUCCUCGCAAGACUCAACUCGCUGCUGUAAGUCUGCACACAAUGCCUGAGAAGGAAGCCAGCGCCAGGACUCCAGUGCCGUGGCUGCCAGCGCAGCGCUGCCAGCUGAGACUUCCCUGCAAAUUCCUGCUCUGCGGUCCCCCCCGAGUCCCGCCGGCUGUGAGUGCUCCCGAAGGUGAAGGAAGCCAGAAGCCAGCCUUGCCAUCCCGCUGGCUCCUGCUUGGCUGGGCCUCUGUCGUCCUGGUUGCCACGGGUCCUGGCGGGGUCAGCCUGGGAUUUCUCUUUUGACGCACGAGGGAUGAUUCGUGAUUGUUGGGGGUGGGGCAGGGACACAGGUCCCACUGGCGACUCCUUUCUGAAUGAAGGAAGCGCAUGAAAAGGAAAAGGAGAGACAGGGUGGGUACCCAGGGCUCCCUCACUACACGGAGUGUCACAUCGUCACACUUGGGAGGGGCUCGAUCAUCUGAGGAUUUGGUCCCGAGUAGGACUUUCAGACCCCGUGGAUUGAAGGCUGCAGUUCUCCAGGGUGGACAUCCAGGCUGUGUCUUCUGCAGCCGUCACGGGAACGCUGGCACCCUAAUCCCGGCCAGCUUUGUAAGAAGAAAGCUCCCUUGCAUUCCCUCACUUUCUGGUGGCACCUGGAGGCUUAUCCCUGGGUGGUUAUUUAAAGCCGCCCACUAAGUGUUUCUGGAACCCUCCUCUCUGCCCCCCGCCUGCCAGCCACAGAGCAGCAGCCAGGGGUGCCAUGUGCCAGGCCCUCUGCCCAGACUUCUGGCCCCGGGGCGUGCGAGCUCAGUGGCUGCCUGCCCACAGCACCGCUUCCCUCCCCAGCUGCAGCUCAUGAAUGAGACCUGUGGGCCGGGCCAGGGAGCUUCCUGCCCAGGCACGUGCAGGACCCUGUAUCCUGUGGCAUUUCUCUAGAAACUCAGGUGCACAUCCUGAAGCCUCACAUGCGCAUGUGAGCUCACAGCCACCUGCAUAUGUGUACACACCACACGUGUGCAUACACGCAUACAAACAGCUACAUGUUACACUUACAUGUGCACACAAAUAUGCAGACCACACAUGUGCACACAGCACACAUGAGUGCUGUGCCCACACUCCUGUCUCUGUCCAGUGAGUCAUCGGCUCUCCUGUGCUGCAGUUCCUGAGUGUCAGGUACAGAGUGACUCUGUACACAUAAGAAUCCCUUCCAUAAACGCACCAGAUAAUUUCUCCUGUUACUAACAAGUAAUCCUGAAUAUCAGCCGCUGAAAGUAAUGAACUGGAAGAUGCUUAUAAGCUGCAGGCUGGGCCCGUGGCAUGCGGCUACCUCCGUGCCAAUCGUUUUCAGGUUUUCCUGGGUGACAUUGGCAUGUAACGUAUGGGCCUUUCUCCGAAAGUCCAGCAUGAGUGUUCUCCUCAGAACAGCAGUGAGGAAGGGGGUCCUGCUGACAGCAGGUCACAUCCACACGCCGUCGUCCCGAGCAGCGCUGGAUUCCAGUCCACCGCUGAGUUCCGCCUGGGCUUGGCUCUAGCCCCAUUCCAGCUCCGAGCCUUAUUACUGGGGAGUCAGAGAUGGAAGCAAGAGAUUUCUCUCCCUCAAAAACCAGAGUCCAGGACCUGAAACUGACCUGUAAGCACGCGUUGCUGUCAUUAACACCAAUCACUGGGUUGAUUCGAGUGCUGGGCACCAUGCAAAGCACUUCAUAGAAUGUAAUUGGGGUUGACAGGUUUAGCAAAGGAAAAUACAGGAUUUCCAGUGGCAUGCGAAUUGUAGUAUAAGUAUGCCCCAUGCAACAUUUGGGACAUAUUUAUACUAAAAUCUACUCAUUGUGUACCUGGUAGGGAGUGUGUUUUUAACUGGGCUCAAUGGAUUUUUCUGGUAGCCAUCACAGUAGUCGUAUGAAGUAGGUUGUAGUAGGUUCUCCAAGUUACAGAUAAGAAAAGAGAUCCAUGUCAUUUCAUUUUUGCAUCAAGUGAAUAACCAUUUAGCCCAUGAGGUGGUUAUGAUGGAGCUACGUCAGCGUGGGCUGAGCCAAAAAAGCAGGUGGGGGCUUCUCUGAGCAGGAAUACACUUGCCAGGAGCUCUGGGAGCCUGUCUUCCCAGAACCGAGGAGGACUUUCUGCAGGGGAGUGCGGUGGGGGGCGAAGUCACACAGCUUGAGGGACAGACCAUGCCAGCUGUGGAACAUGGAAUCCGUAAGCUGAAUGGAGCCCAAGGAAGUACCAAACCCAGAGUUUUCCUGAGAGUGCACCAUGGCGCGAUCCUCAGUGGAGUCUACUGAAGAAGUGGGUCUCGUGGCCUCAUGGUCACGUCAGCUAAUCUUGGUGACCCCUAGCUAAAUCUGCAUAUUAACACGCAGCUAACCUUGUACUCAAUAGCUCUUGUGAACUGUUAACACGGUAUGCUGAAAACUUGAUCACUAGAGCUGUUAUAUUCCCUAUGUCAUCUCACGGGACGCUAGCAACUUGCGGAACACAUUUGGACAAUUCUGUCCCCAAACGAGAGCAAGUGAGAAGCAGUCACCUCCGAUGGCACAACGCCCCUCCCUUGUGGGCCUGUGCGUCAUUUACUAUGGCACAAAUCACCGGUCGCCUCACUUUGCACACCUGUUCGCUUUGCCUGCUAAGUCAUCAUCAGAUACUUAGAGCAUAGUUCAGUGCCUGAGGAAAGGAUGCUUUAGAUAAAUGUUUGAAUGGAAGAGUGGACGCCUACCCAUCUAUGACUCACAUGCCUGAAGUCACCCGUGAACACCAUGAACAUCAGGGCAGCCAGGUUCUUUCUCUGCGGCCCCGACGUUAGACAGAGCCUGUGCCACAUGGUCCUGACCCUGACCGUCCCUGCUGGGCUUCCUCCCCACCCCCUAUCCUGCUCCAGCCCCCGGAGUUGGGCUGCGUGAUCUGAGAACCGUCUCUCCCCGAGUGGCAGCGCUAGCCCUCUGGUGUUGGCGGACAGCUGCCGGCCCUCGUGCUGUGAUAACCCUGCACUGAGGCCAUCGUUGCCGUAACUGUGGGAAGGGCCACCAGGAAGGAAAUGCAAGGGGUCAGGCAAAAUCCGUCUCCUGACAGCCGUGCAGGCGGGACCCAAGCGUGUUCCCUUGACGCAUCUGACUUCAAACGGGAAAGGCUUUCGAGAGAACAGAGUGGGAAGACGGGACCAGACCAGGAGGGCCAGGCCAGGGGACAAGGCAGAGAGCGAUUGACCUUGGAGAGCUCUCUACCUUGAAUGCGGGUUCGUACCAGAGGCCGCGGAUCCUGACUGCCGUGUGUUCUCUUACAUGGUCGGGUGGCAGCCUGGACUCCAGGUCCCGAUGAGAAGGCGGGCCUGAGAGUCACUGCAGGACUCUGCUCACCAGCUUGCUCAGGCAGUGUGAGCCACCGUUCUUGGGGACAACCUGGCCCUUUCACAGGAGGCUGACAGAGGCCUUUACCCAGCUGGGGGGCCGGGUAACCGCAGCUUCCUCCUGCUCACCCGCCAGCAGGCCCGAGGUGUGUUCCUCCCCACACGAGCAGUCGGCUGGGUCUGAGGCCAGAGUGAUGCCCUCAGGAAAAGAAUUCUCCCGUCUCUGACUCCCGUCGGCUUUGCCCUGGCUAAGGUCUGGGCUUCCUCAGACAGCCCCAGCCAGGGGAGCUCCCUGCCCCCACACCGGCGUCCUGGCUCUGCCUUCAUGGCCAGCUGACCUCGUAGCAGCCAGUGGCACCCGGGGCAACCGGUGGCCACCCAGGCUCGCUGCCCACAGGAGGCCUGGUGAAGGCUGCCUCCUGGGCCCAAGUCGCACCCGGUGCUUCUUCCCUGGAGAAAGAACCAACAUUUUCAGCUUUUGAGAUGGAGCCCCCAUGUUUCACGCACAUGGGGGUUUUAGAAUCGUGGCUUGAGAGCAGACCCACUCUGAGGGCUGGAAGGACCACAGAAAUCUUCUGCAAAUGUGGAGACGUCCAGUGCACAGGGGAUCGGGGCGCCACCUGGAAAAGCCCACGUGCAGCUCAGCCCAGGCCUGAAUAGCAGAGCGGUUGGAGCGUGGGCAGGAGGGACACCUCUGGGCUCACACGCCAGCUCUCCGUUCAGACGGAGGUCAGAUCCAGCAAAUCACGGAAGCGUUCCGGGGUCGGGUCUGCUCUUUCAUGAAACCGGGAUGAUCCCAGUGGCAUGUUCUCGGGGCUGUUUUGAAAGUUACGUGGGGCGAGUCAGAUCAGAGGCCUAGAGCAGGGUCCGGUGCGCUGCAAGUGCUCGGCUAACGUUUGCUGUUUCCCGACAUUCUCUGGCCCUGGGCCUGCGUCCUGAAAGAGACUGUGGGUGGGUGACAGGCAUCGUCAUCUUUGCUCUACCUCGUAACCUUUUUUAAUCCAGACGCCCUUCGUGUCUGGCAGCAGAGAACGCUGGUGAGUGACGCUGUUGCGAAGCCUCCCCCUCCCCACCCCACGCUCAGACACAGCUCGGCGGGACUCCGUCUGCCCACAGCGCGGGAAGAGCAAGGACCCAGGGCCAGAUGGCAGGCUUCGUGUAAGCCCUUCACUCACCAGCUGUGUGACCUCCGGCAAGUGACACACUCUCUGUGCCGAGAUCCCCAUUUCGACAUGAACAUCAGAAUAAUAACUUCCUCGCCGAUUGUUAUGAGAUUGGACAAACUAAUGUAAGCAACGGCCUCAGAAUGUCCUUGGUCUGUGGCAAGCGCUUUGACAGGGUUUUAAGGAACCGAUGAGGAUCUGUGCUCACUGGGCCUGGGGGAGGGAGGCGGGGGACGGGGACUUUUAGGGCAGCAGGAAGUGCAUGAGCAUGUGGCUGAGCCGCACAGUGCGAGUGGCUGAGACAGCGGACUCAGGGCAUCGGGACUUGUCAAAACCCGCAGAAUGCACGGCACAAGGCGUGAACCCUACUGCAAAUUCUGGACGUUAGUUAAUAAUAAUGGCUCCGGACUGACUCAUCAGUUGUAACCAACGUACCACACCGACGCCAGAUGUUCCUACCGGAACCUCGCUGGGGCGGACGGGAGGGCGGUGGGAACGCUCUGUACCUUCUGCUCCAUUUCUCCGUAACCCUAAAACUGCUCUGAAAACAAAGCGAUUAAUUAAAAACAUUCAGUUACCCACAUAUUAUGCCGGUCCGUCUUCCCCCACAGAGCCUUCUAAAGGUAUGUGUGACUCACUCUCCAUCCUCUUCCUCUUUUGCGCCCCCACACUGGCCGGCGGUUGGUGGGUACUGGAUGGGUGAGGGAGCGGGGGGCUUCCAGCCUGGGCUGGGAAACCCUCUCCCAGACCCCUCCCUGCGCCGCGUCCCCAGGCAGCAGCCAGCCAGCCCCCACGGCACCUCUCUUCUGAUGGGGAGGAUAUCCCGGAUGCCAGCUCCAGGCCCUGGUGCCAAAGGGUCUGCCUGCUCACUCAGACCUGCUGCCUGAGUCAUCAGGCAUUUUGCACCGAACGCCACGUCAGGAAAACCGACCCAUGGCCCAGAAGCGGAAUGUGGAGUGAGGAAAACAGGGUUCACUCCUGUUGACUCUUUGGUGAUGACUUCCACUUAGGCAGGUCUUAAUGUCCUGCUGCACUCAUGUUUUCUCGUGUGAUUUCUCACCCACAAAAUUGCACAGCCUGUCAAUGAUAACGUUCUCUGGGUUACUUUGUCUUACAUCUUUCUAAGCUUUGCAUGAUAUGUACAAAUUACGAAUUAUAGCUUCUCCUUAAAACCCCAGGAAAGAGUGCCUGUGCUCUGAAUAGUGAAAACUAAGGGACAGGAGGAACCCCUCUGCACCUCCUAUGUCAGGGUGAGUUUUGAUGUCACUGUUGUCUGUUUUAUCCUUAAAAUCAUCUCCAGCAGGGGUGUGUGUUGGGGGCAGGAGGGU
Microcebus murinus (gray mouse lemur) is the source of this 6390-nucleotide non-coding RNA. The record is from RefSeq and is a predicted model, not a curated record. NCBI's taxonomy places the organism in Eukaryota, Metazoa, Chordata, Mammalia, Primates, Cheirogaleidae.